Molecule: ribosomal RNA, 456 nt
Filed under: uncultured bacterium
Lineage: Bacteria
Description: partial 16S ribosomal RNA
Rfam family: Bacterial small subunit ribosomal RNA
Source: RNAcentral
UAACACAUGCAAGUCGAACGGCAACACGAACUUCCUUGCUUCUUUGCUNACGAGUGGGGGACGGGUGACUAAUGNCUGGGAAACUGCCUGAUGGAUGGGGAUAACUACUGGAAACUGUAGCUAAUACCGAUCAACGUCNCAAGACCAGAGAGGGGGACCUUCUGGCCUCUUGCCAUCGGAUGUGCCCAAAUGGGAUUAUGUUGGGAGUGGGGUAACGGCUCACCAAGAUNACNAUCCCUACCUGGACUGAGAGGAUGACCACCCACACUGAAACUGAGACCCGACCCCUACUCCUACCGGAGGCGGGAAAGGGGAAUAUUGGACAAUGGGCGCGAGCCUGAUGCACCCCUGGCGCGAGGAUGAACAACGCCUUCNGGUUGUAUUUUACUUUCAACGAGGAGGAAGGGAGUAAAGNUNAUACCUUUNNUCAUUGACGUUACACGAANAANAAGCACC